GUCGAGACAUUGGACAUGCGACAUUUUGGAUCCAGCGGACUUGAAGCCCAAGUCCAAGCUAAAUUAUGAAAAUGCCCUGACGAGUUUUUAACCUAGUAGAUUAUAUACUGCCUAAGUGUUUUGACGGCAGAGAGAGCUUUUUGUUACAGUUUUACUUUGAGAGAGAGAGAGAGAGAGAGUUUUGGAGAGAAGAUCACUUGUGAUUGG
Molecule: long non-coding RNA, 207 nt
Filed under: Brassica napus (rape)
Lineage: Eukaryota; Viridiplantae; Streptophyta; Magnoliopsida; Brassicales; Brassicaceae
Description: long non-coding RNA (BNAP_LNC022832)
Source: RNAcentral